CCUUUCCAGGGGACCACGAUGGCCGCACCCUCGCCCUGUGGGGCACGACCACCUAUGACCUCGUUUCCUCCACCCGCCUCCCGGAGCCGGUGCAUGGCGUGGCCUUCAACCCCUGGGACGCCGGCGAGCUCACCUGUGUGGGCCAGGGCACUGUCACCUUCCGGCUCCUGCAGCAGCGUGGGGCAGACAUCAGCCUUCAGGUGCGUCGAGAGCCGGUCCCAGAGGCAGUGGGGGCUGGAGAGCUGACCUCGCUCUGUUAUGGGGCACCCCCCCUGCUCUAUUGUGGCACCAGCUCUGGCCAGGUCUGUGUCUGGGACACGCGUGCCGGCCGCUGCUUCCUGUCCUGGGAGGCAGAUGACGGUGGCAUUGGACUG
This 374-nucleotide small RNA is filed under the name Pongo abelii (Sumatran orangutan). RNAcentral describes it as "retained intron". The record is from RNAcentral. Lineage: Eukaryota; Metazoa; Chordata; Mammalia; Primates; Hominidae.